UACGAAGGGGGGCUAGCGUUGCUCGGAAUCACUGGGCGUAAAGGGGUGCGUAGGCGGAUCGUUAAGUCGGGGGUGAAAUCCUGGAGCUCAACUCCAGAACUGCCUUCGAUACUGGCGAUCUUGAGUCCGGAAGAGGUGAGUGGAACUCCUAGUGUAGAGGUGGAAUUCGUAGAUAUUAGGAAGAACACCAGUGGCGAAGGCGGCUCACUGGUCCGGUACUGACGCUGAGGUGCGAAAGCGUGGGGAGCAAACAGGG
Molecule: ribosomal RNA, 256 nt
Filed under: uncultured bacterium
Lineage: Bacteria
Description: partial 16S ribosomal RNA
Rfam family: Bacterial small subunit ribosomal RNA
Source: RNAcentral